AAGUAGUCCAGUAUAUGUUAAACAUGGUAGAAAUGUGUUAAAUCCAAUAAAUGUAUACAUAUUUAUACAAUUAUCAUGAUGCACAAAAAAAAGCAAAAUAAAAUGCAAUCAAACAAUAAGAAUGAAAAAUGUUAUGAACCACACUCAGUUCCCACAGUCCUCUCACUGGGUGUAGAUGGCUCCCUUCAUCACUGAACAAGUGACACUGGUUUGAAUCACCUCAUUGUUGAAGAGAACCAUGUCCAUCUUGUUUCUGUGUACAAUGAUCUCCUAGUUCUGCUUAUUUCACUCGGCAUCAGUUCAACGUGAACAAUUUUCAGAAGUAACCAUGGCAAUCUAUAGCCAUAUGGAAAAAUAUUCUCAUUAUUGUAAAAAAGCAAAUUAAAGCAUUUCUGAAGUACUACCACAUAACUAUGAGAUCAGCUAAUAGUACAGAAAAAGAAACUGAUUAAAUUUUGAGAGGAUAUGGAGAAAAUAAGACAUUAUACAUACCCUUUGACAUAGCAAUACUACUAUUAGGUCUGAAUGCCAGGAAAUUAAAAAAAGAAAAGAAAAAGGACUCAUGUUCAAAUGAAAAAUAUUUAUAAGCAAGUCUUUUGUGGUGGCAAAGAAUUGGAAAGGAAAGGAAUGUCCAUCAAUCGGGAAUUCAUUGUGGUGUUAUUGGGAAUAAAUUGUGGUGUGUUAUUACAGUGGAAUACCAUUGUGCUCUAAAAAAUGAGCAGGAUGCCUUCAGAAAAAUGUGAAAAGAGCCGAUACAAAGUGACAUGUACUGUGUACAAAGAAAUAGCAAUAUUGUAAGAUGAUCCACUGUGAAUGACACAAUUAUUUUCUGCAAUACAAUGAUCCAAAACAACUUUAAAGGAGUUAUGAUGAAAAAUGCGAUCCAUUUCCAGAGCAAGUGCUAUUGGGCUCUGAAUGCAGACUGAAGCAUAUUUUAAUUUUUCUUGAGGGUUUUUGGAGAGACUCUGUCUUCUUUCAUAGCAUGACUAUGAUGGAAAUGUUUUGCACGACUAUACUUGUAUAACCUAUAUUGAAUUGCUUGCAUUCUGAAUGGGGGAAGGUAGAAGGGAAGAUGGAAAAGAAUCUGGGGGAAAAAAAGGUAAAAACCCUGUUUUGUUUUUUUUUGUACCUGGGGUGAGGGGAGGAAAUACUAAAGAAAAAAGGGAACACAGGGAGGAGUGUGCAGUUUUAUAUUUUGGAGACAUAGUUUCAAAUUACUCUCCAGAGUGGUUACAAUCAGUUCACAACUCCAUUUUUUCUUACAACUCCUCCAACAUUUAUUUUCUGUCAUAUUAGCCAAUCUGAUAAGUAUGAAAUAUCAUUUUUUAUAUGACUAUAUAAAUAACUUUGAUUUCAUCUGAAAAUUGACUGGUCAUAUCCUUUGAUCAUUUAUCAAAUGAAGAAUUACUCUUAAAUUUGACUCAGUUCCUCAUAUAUUUGAAAAAUAAGGCUUUAUCAGAGAAACUUGUAAAUUUUUUGUUGCUUGCUUUCCUUCUAAUUUUGGCUGAACUGAUUUUUGUGCAAAAAUUUUAUCAAAAUUAUCCAUUUAACAACUCAUAACACUUUCAUUUGGUCUUAUUUCUUCCACUAUCCACAGAUCUGACAAGUAAACUAUUUUAUGCAUCUAUAAUUUGCUUAUGGUUUCACUAUGUCUAAAUCAUGUAUCCUUUUUAAACUUAUUUUGGUAUAUGUUAUGGGAUGUUGCUCUACAUUCAAUUUCUGCCAAACUGCAUUUUCCCCCCCCAAGAAUUUAUUUCAGAUGUUAAGUUCUUGUCACAAAAGCUGGGAUCUUCUCAUUUAUCAAACACUAUAUUACUAUAGCCUUUUACUACUGUGUAUACUCAUUUAUUCCACUAGUGCACCUCUCUAUGACAUGUAAAUGUCCCAAAUUCUUGAAUAUUUGUUUACAAGUGAUUGUAUUGUUUUGAUUAAAUUGUAAUACAGACAACAAUACCAAAAUACAUACAUUUUUUCUAAAGUUUAUUGCUCUGAAAUAAAUUGUCCUUUACAGUUUUGAGAUAAGUCAAAUAUUGCUUAAUUUUCAUGAUUCACAGACAAAACAAAAAGCAAUAGAGAAAGAGUAAUUUUUGUGAUCAUGACUUUAGGGAGUUUAUUUUAAAAGGGUCAUUUUCAGAAAUAAUAACAGUAAUUACAGUUGUCGAAGGAUUAAGCAAUUUAAGGAUCAUAUUCCUUAGUAAUUUAGAAGUGAACAUUUCUGAGUAUAGUUUGUAGUAGUUUAGGGAAAAUGUGUCUGUCAGACAUACAGUAUAAGUAUGCAAGUCCAGACUAGAACGUCUGCAUACUUAAUAUGCAGAUUCCUUACAUUUUUAGAAAUACCUUGUGCAGUAUCCAUAUUUAAAAUUUUGUAUUCAAUUUACUACAGUUAUACACAAGACAAAAGUUACAUCUAACAGAGGAAUCAGACAUUAAUGAUUCAAGACAUUUAUGUCCACUUCAUCUAUAAUUUAAAAAAAAAAAACUUCCUCCCUCUAUGUAAUUAGGGACUUUUUGCCUUCACAGAAAUAACAGAGUUGAACUAUCACACACACACACAAAAAAAAAAAAAAAAAACCCUAAAUCUCAUAAAAACAAGCAUGUUAGCUAAAAAUAUUUAUAUAAAAUUAUGUAUUUUGUGCGAAUUUAUAACAGCUAAAUAAAUUCUCAAAUUUAAUUGGAAUAUUGCUGUCAUAAAGGAUUCAGAACAGUAUGUGAUGACAUGACAAUGAAGGAAAUAAAUUAAAAUUUGUAAAACUAUAGAUAAUGACAAUGAUGUAAAUGGGGGGGGAGUAAAAUUAAAUUGACCACUGUGCAGUUAUAAUGACCAAACUUGGCCUUGGAAAAGAGCUGAGAAAAUGGACCUCCUUUCUUUCUUGGAAAAGACAGAGGACUAUAUUUUCUUCAUAUUGCAUAUGAUUAAUAUUGCACAUGCUCUCCAUCAUGGUUGAUGUGUUGAUUUUACCAAACUGUUCUUCCACAUCCCUUUUUUAACUUCUCAGAAAUAGCUUCCUUUGUAAAGUUACAUUCAGAAAUUAUGAUGUGCAAACAAAAUGUAUCAAUAAAAAUAGGAUUUACCAAAAAAAAAAAAAAAAAAAAAAAAAAAAAAAAAUCCUUGGUUGCAUAGCCCAUUUCCUGCAGUGACUGCUAUCCACUUUGAUUGUUCCUUAUCCUGGCUGUCUCUCGUGAGUUUUAUAGACAUUAAAUUUAAACUAAAGUUCAAAACUUAAUGUUUUCCUCUAUAGAUUAAAUAUGAAUGACUUAGCAAUUGUUCAGUAAAAUAUUUUUAAAGUGCAUUGUGCUAGGCAUUGGUGAUUCAGAGAGAAAAACAAUCCCUGGCUUCAAGAAAUUUACAUUCUAUUGAUUAAUACAAAAUGUAGAUGAAAAAGCCAAAAGUAGUCAUUGUUGUGGACAUCAAAAAAGGCUUCCCAAAGAAGAGUAUAUUCUACCUUGAAGGAAGCUAGGAAUCCUGUGAAAUGAGGAUGAGAAUGAAGUGAAUUUUAGGAAAGGAGGGAAUUUUAGGAAAGGUAUCAAGGCAGAAAUAUUAGGAAAAUGACAGCUGGAAUGAAGAAAUUAUGAAGGGGUAUAGUGUAAAAUAAGUCUAGAAAAUUAAGUUGAAACUUUUCAUAUCAAUAUAAUAGAAAAGUGAAUGCACACCAAUUGGGGAAUGAGCAAACAUUGAUACAUAUGUGAAAAUAUUAUUUCAUCAGAAGUGAUGGACAUUUAGAAAAUCUUAUGUAAACUGAGUUAUAUAAUCCAAUGCAGAGCAAAGUAAGCACAGGAGGGAAGGAAGGAAAAAGAGGGAAGGAAAAGAAGGGAGGGGAGAGAAGGGAGGGAAGGGAAGGAAAGGAAGGAAGGAAAGGGAGGGAAUAAAAGGAAGGAAGAAAUCAAAGGAGGGAAGAGAGAAAGGAAGGUUUAAGGGAGGGAGGGAUAUUCAGAGGAAGGAGGAAAGAAAGGAAGAAAGAUAAUAAAAAUAUUAUGCUAAUAGAACUGCCAAGACUUGGCAAUUGACUGUAUACACUGUGACACAGAAAAGAACAAAAAGUCCAAAAGUGCAAAACAAAGUCAAUGGGAAGAUAUUGGUACUUCAAUUGAAAUAGGAAGUUUUGAGACUGGGAAGGUUUAAAGGGGAAGUUAAUGAGUUCUGGUUUGGACAUUCUAAAGUGGCCCAAGUACUUGGUAUAAAUAUUAAAUUGAGUUUUCUGGUUAAAAUGUUAAAUAAUAUAUAAUGACCAACUCUGAUGAAGAUGGCUGUUUUCAAUAAUGAGGUGAUUCAGGCCAAUUCCAAUAGACUUGUGAUGGAGAGGGCAAUCUGAAUCCAGAAAGAGGAUUGUAGGAACUGAAUGUGGAUCACAACAUAGUAUUUUUAUCUUUUAUAUUGUUUGUUUCCUUUUUGUUUCUUUUUUUUCUUUUUGAUCUGAUUUUUUUAUGCAGCAUGACAAAUGUAAAAAUAUGUUAAGGAUUACACAUGUUUACCCUACACUGGAAUACUUGCUGUCUGGGGGAAAAGGGAGGAAAGGAGAAAAAUUUGGAACACAAGGUUUUCCAAAGAUAAAUAUUGAAAACUAUUUUUGCAUGUUUUUUUAAAAAUUAAAAGCUAUUAUUAACAAUUUCAUAAAAUAUGAUUCUUGUUGAUAUAAAAAUUAUUUUUCUAUAGGAGAUUAUUUUUUCUGGAUCCAUUGUUUGUUGAAAAAAAUAAUUUAUCUCAAUUUCACAUUUUUAAUUAACUAAUAUAAUUAUAAG
This 4737-nucleotide long non-coding RNA is filed under the name Sarcophilus harrisii (Tasmanian devil). RNAcentral's name for it is "lncRNA (ENSSHAG00000020648.1)". The record is from RNAcentral. Lineage: Eukaryota; Metazoa; Chordata; Mammalia; Dasyuromorphia; Dasyuridae.